Pieris napi is the source of this 502-nucleotide long non-coding RNA. RefSeq lists it as uncharacterized. Lineage: Eukaryota; Metazoa; Arthropoda; Insecta; Lepidoptera; Pieridae. The transcript is spliced from 3 exons. The record is from RefSeq and is a predicted model, not a curated record.
UCGUCGUGGUUUUAUUCUGCUAGUUAUGUUAUUCACGACGCAAGCGCUGAGCGGUGGCUUUGCCAUAAUAACGUAUGCAUCGGUUAUUUUGGCCUCAAUGGGAACCGAGCUAGCUUACCCCGAAUUGCAAACAAUCAGUUUACCAAUCGUAAUGAUCAUAGCGUCAUUAAUGUUGACAAUUAUUGCUGAGAAAUUCGGUAGACGGACCUUACAAGCGACUGGGUACUCAAUAUCAGCGCUAACAUUCACAAUAUUGGCUACGUUUAUUCUCCUACAAGACUAUGGCUAUGCCACUCCCGCAUGGCUGCCUAUUGGAUGCAUGGUCACUAUUGUUGCUAUGUACGCAGGCACUAUUCGGCCUUUGCCAUUCAUAGUUGCCGCGGAGUUACUGCAUUUCAGAGUACGUGCAAAAUUAAUGGGCGUGUUGGCAAUGUUAAUUGGACUGAUGAAUUCUGUUCAUCUCUUUUCGUAUAUCCCAUUGAAAACUUAUCUCGGUUUGUCA